This 72-nucleotide transfer RNA is filed under the name bacterium. RNAcentral describes it as "tRNA-His". It matches the Rfam family "tRNA". From Rfam's summary of the family: Transfer RNA (tRNA) molecules are approximately 80 nucleotides in length. The record is from RNAcentral.
GUGGGCGUAGCUCAAUGGCAGAGCACUCGGAUGUGGCCCGAGCGGUUGGGAGUUCGAAUCUCCUCGCUCACC